RNAcentral lists this ribosomal RNA (748 nucleotides) under uncultured bacterium. RNAcentral's name for it is "bacterial SSU rRNA". It matches the Rfam family "Bacterial small subunit ribosomal RNA", at positions 781 to 1532 of the family's 1533-position model. The record is from RNAcentral.
GAUACCCUGGUAGUCCACACUGUAAACGAUGAUAACUCGCUGUCGGCGAUACACAGUCGGUGGCCAAACGAAAGCGAUAAGUUAUCCACCUGGGGAGUACGACCGCAAGGUUGAAACUCAAAGGAAUUGACGGGGGCCCGCACAAGCGGAGGAACAUGUGGUUUAAUUCGAUGAUACGCGAGGAACCUUACCCGGGCUCGAACGGUGCAUGAAUGAUUCAGAGAUGGAUUAGUCCUUCGGGACAUGUAUCGAGGUGCUGCAUGGUUGUCGUCAGCUCGUGCCGUGAGGUGUCGGCUUAAGUGCCAUAACGAGCGCAACCCUUGUCGUUAGUUGCCAUCAGGUAAUGCUGGGAACUCUAGCGAGACUGCCGGUGACAAACCGGAGGAAGGUGGGGAUGACGUCAAGUCCUCAUGGCCCUUAUGGGUAGGGCUUCACACGUCAUACAAUGGUCGGUACAGAGGGUUGCCAAGCCGCGAGGUGGAGCCAAUCCCUUAAAGCCGAUCGUAGUCCGGAUCGUAGUCUGCAACUCGACUACGUGAAGUCGGAAUCGCUAGUAAUCGCAGAUCAGCAUGCUGCGGUGAAUACGUUCCCGGGUCUUGUACACACCGCCCGUCACACCAUGGGAGUGGGUUUCACCAGAAGUAGGUAGCUUAACCUUCGGGAGGGCGCUUACCACGGUGAGAUUCAUGACUGGGGUGAAGUCGUAACAAGGUAGCCGUAUCGGAAGGUGCGGCUGGAUCACCUCCUU